GACGGAGGAUGCAAGCGUUAUCCGGAAUGAUUGGGCGUAAAGCGUCCGCAGGUGGCAGUUCAAGUCUGCUGUCAAGGACCGGGGCUUAACUUCGGAAAGGCAGUGGAAGCUGAACAGCUAGAGUAUGGUAGGGGCAGAGGGAAUUCCUGGUGUAGCGGUGAAAUGCGCAGAUAUCAGGAAGAACACCAAUGGCGAAAGCAGCUUUCUGGGACGGUACUGACGCUGAGACGCGAAAGCGUGGGGAGCGAACAGG
This 253-nucleotide ribosomal RNA is filed under the name uncultured bacterium. RNAcentral's name for it is "partial 16S ribosomal RNA". It matches the Rfam family "Bacterial small subunit ribosomal RNA", at positions 524 to 776 of the family's 1533-position model. The record is from RNAcentral.